This is a long non-coding RNA of Pygocentrus nattereri (red-bellied piranha), 230 nucleotides long. RefSeq lists it as uncharacterized. Lineage: Eukaryota; Metazoa; Chordata; Actinopteri; Characiformes; Serrasalmidae. The record is from RefSeq and is a predicted model, not a curated record. The transcript is spliced from 3 exons.
GUGGGUUGUCGUCUCGGCUUCCUGAAGAAAUGACUGGCUUCCAGAAACGAAAAUAAAGAAAAGAAAGGGCGACAGCCCAACAAAUGCAGCUUCAGGCUCAGCAGUCCUGUCUCCCCAUCAGCGCUGCUCCCAACUGAAGAAGGAGGCUCUCAAAAGACUCCAUUAAGCUGAAUUUCAAAGUCCCUUUUGUUUGGAAGCUUGAUGUGCACUUUACAUCCCGUUACCGUGGC